This is a long non-coding RNA of Gasterosteus aculeatus aculeatus (three-spined stickleback), 1889 nucleotides long. Lineage: Eukaryota; Metazoa; Chordata; Actinopteri; Perciformes; Gasterosteidae. The record is from Ensembl.
ACCCAAUUUAAUAAAAACUUCAUUUUCAACUUUUUUGAUUGUGUCCUUCGAACUUUUUUUUCCGAGUCACCUUUCUGGCAUGUGCUUAUUAUGAAUAUAUUCAUAGGCUGCCAUCUUGGCCGACCACCUUCCCUGAAGAAAUCUUACAUUUUCAAUAUUAAUUGGAUUAACCUGGAUAGGAAUAGGUGACCUAAAACAAUAAGAAAAAAGCACUGCUCGUGGCUUUCCUCCCAGUUGUCAACAUUCAGGUGGCAGUGCCUCAUUAUCUCGUUCCAAAAGGUUCAUCCCGGGUCCACGAGUGCCAGUAAUGCCUUUUAAAAGCUAAAAAGAAAGGAAUUAAACAUAAGGCAUGUCAUUUCUAAGCCAUUGCACUCUCCUUAUCAGCAGUCUCCACCUUUCCUUUGCUCUUGAAGGAAAAGCGAAGCUUGGCUGGUUGACCGAUGCACCGUUAACUUUGAUGCGCGUCUGUAGAUAUUUUAAAAAGGGGGUUGGUGAUGUCGCAGGGCUUCGUUCGGUUAAUCGUCUGCCACAAGGUGACUGUGUCUACAUUUAACAUAUUGCUCAGUCGACCCACAGGGGUGCGAUCUGUGGUUACAGGGCUGGAAGCACCACCAGUUUCUUUUAAAAGGUGCUACGCUACUGCAUGUUAUUUGUUUGUUUUUGGAACCAAACGAACCAGAGGCUUUUUCAGCAGAGCGCCGACCUUUCGGCCGAUACCAGGUCCGUUGUGCCGAGGGGCCAAAACAAUGUGGAGUUUCUCACUUUCUAAUUCUCAGCUGUGACUCUGUGUGAACAUGAACGGUGUGAUGAAUUGCAUUUCUAAAAUGCCUGAUGAUAUUAUUAAUUCAUUAUAUUGUUGAUGUUAACGUGUCUUAACAUCUAACGCUCUGUCGGGACCUUUCUACACGUAAAAGGAUCCCCGUCCACACCGUUGCAUCACCGGAUACCGGUGUUACGCUCAAGGCGACGUCAGCAUCCAACAGCAGGGGGGAGGACAGCACAAUAGUCGUAUUGUCCCGCCACAAGGGAGGGAAUCAGUGUCACAAGAACAUUGUAGAAUCCAACUCUGUCAAUUGUUUCUAAAAGAACAUCUGUGCACGUGGAGGCGCCAUUACUUAUUGGCACCUUUAAGUUAACUAAUCCCCAGAUGUUGACAGGUGAAAAUCACUUUCUAUAGUGACUUCACAGCCACAUGGUCUGGAAGCACUGACGCCGACUCAUCUCACAUCUCAACACACAGGCGGCGUCUACAUGCAUUUAUAAAUAGGCAACCUGUCAUUCUGGUUCCAAUACAAAUUGGCCGCGGAGGCUGACACGUGUCCUGUGCGUCUCCGCUAACGCCAUGCCAGAAAUAGCCGCGUAUCCAUUAAUUUCAGCAUUAAGACGAGGUGAGAAACACAACUUGUUAAAAUCACAUUUACAGUUGGAGUUCUGUAAUUAUAUAAGAUUCGCACACAUGCAAAGUAAGGGUUAUUUUAGGAAGGACUGAAUGUUCGCCGCUUUUAAGCACCCAAAGUUGCAACCAGUUUGAAAUGUGAGUUAGAACAGAGGCCUAAACUCUCCAUCAGAAGACCGGCUCGCUGUAAUAUCCACCAGGCAGGUGCUUGUGAUAAAUUGUUAUCUUAAUAGGACUUAAUAGGCUCAUACAAAAGGGCAGAGAGUAUAGUCGAAGAUCCGAUACCACGAGUGCAACGAAGGACCCAAAACCCUGACCUGUGAUCCGAAGUGUAAAUGUAGAAUAGGAAUGUUUACAGCCUGCAGAUUUAAAUCUUCUGAAGUGGGAGGUUGAGACGUCUUUCAUAUGCAGAUAGAGGACCAGGAUGUCUGGAGGAUGCCGCCCACAUUCGACGCUGCUGAUGUUGUUGAUUCAAAGGGGGGGGGGGGGGGGG